UCUCUCUGAAUCUGCGAACGGCUCCGCACACCAGUUGUAAGCUAUAGCGUGUCCCGCCUGGUCACCCCCGGGUGGCUGGGCAACUAUAUGGAUAACCGUGGUAAUUCUAAGGCUAAUACAUGACAACGAACCUUGUCUGUCGGCUGCCUUUCCCUCCGGGGUCGGGCGUGUUCGGCAGCGAGGGACGUACGAGUAAAACGAAGGGUAUCAGGAAAGAGCGUACGUUCGGACCACCGCUUAGGGCUUGGCUUAUGCCUCGGGGGCAACCCUGGGGUGCUGUCUCGCCUGGUGGCUCACGCGUUGCGCUUCUGACCUAUCAACUGGACGGCAGCGUAAGGGACAUGCCAUGGUAACAACGGGUACAGAGGAUAAGGGUUCGAUCCUGGAGAGUGGGCCUGAGAGAUU
Molecule: ribosomal RNA, 405 nt
Filed under: uncultured myxomycete
Lineage: Eukaryota; Evosea; Eumycetozoa
Description: SSU rRNA
Rfam family: Eukaryotic small subunit ribosomal RNA
Source: RNAcentral